UGAGGGAAAGGCGAAAAGAACCCCGGCGAGGGGAGUGAAAAAGAACCUGAAACCGUGUACGUACAAGCAGUGGGAGCCCCACCACUAAGCCAGUGGUGAACUCCACAUACGCAUCCUUUGCUGAGGAUACGGUUAACGGAGCGAAAGCGACGUUCAACCUCAAAAGAAGCAGAGGGGGCUUAGUGGUGGGGUGACUGCGUACCUUUUGUAUAAUGGGUCAGCGACUUAUAUUCUGUAGCAAGGUUAACCGUAUAGGGGAGCCGGAGG
Molecule: ribosomal RNA, 267 nt
Filed under: Salmonella enterica
Lineage: Bacteria; Pseudomonadati; Pseudomonadota; Gammaproteobacteria; Enterobacterales; Enterobacteriaceae
Also listed under: 39 other names
Description: partial 23S ribosomal RNA
Rfam family: Bacterial large subunit ribosomal RNA
Source: RNAcentral